UGGGGAAUAUUGGACAAUGGGGGGAACCCUGAUCCAGCAAUGCCGCGUGUGUGAAGAAGGCCUGAGGGUUGUAAAGCACUUUCAGUGGGGAGGAGGGUUGACAGGUUAAGAGCUGAUUAAAUGGACGUUACCCACAGAAGAAGCACCGGCUAACUCCGUGCCAGCAGCCGCGGUAAUACGGAGGGUGCGAGCGUUAAUCGGAAUUACUGGGCGUAAAGGGUGCGUAGGUGGUUAAUUAAGUUAUCUGUGAAAUCCCCGGGCUUAACCUGGGCAGGUCAGAUAAGACUGGUAGACUCGAGUAUGGGAGAGGGUAGUGGAAUUUCCGGUGUAGCGGUGAAAUGCGUAGAGAUCGGAAGGAACACCAGUGGCGAAGGCGGCUACCUGGCCUAAUACUGACACUGAGGCACGAAAGCGUGGGGAGCAAACAGGAUUAGAUACCCGGGUAGUCC
Molecule: ribosomal RNA, 449 nt
Filed under: uncultured bacterium
Lineage: Bacteria
Description: bacterial SSU rRNA
Rfam family: Bacterial small subunit ribosomal RNA
Source: RNAcentral